Molecule: ribosomal RNA, 253 nt
Filed under: uncultured bacterium
Lineage: Bacteria
Description: partial 16S ribosomal RNA
Rfam family: Bacterial small subunit ribosomal RNA
Source: RNAcentral
CACGGGGGGAGCAAGCGUUGUUCGGAUUCAUUGGGCGUAAAGAGCUCGUAGGCGGUUUGUCACGUCUGCUGUGAAAUCCCGAGGCUCAACCUCGGGCCUGCAGUGGGUACGGGCAGACUGGAGUGCGGUAGGGGAGAAUGGAAUUCCUGGUGUAGCGGUGGAAUGCGCAGAUAUCAGGAGGAACACCGAUGGCGAAGGCAGUGCUCUGGGCCGUAACUGACGCUGAGGAGCGAAAGCGUGGGGAGCGAACAGG